RNAcentral lists this ribosomal RNA (508 nucleotides) under uncultured archaeon. RNAcentral's name for it is "bacterial SSU rRNA". It matches the Rfam family "Archaeal small subunit ribosomal RNA", at positions 325 to 834 of the family's 1478-position model. The record is from RNAcentral.
ACGGGGUGCAGCAGGCGCGAAAACUUUGCAAUGUGCGAAAGCACGACAAGGUUAAUCCGAGUGAUUUGUGCUAAACGAAUCUUUUGUUAGUCCUAGAACCACUAACGAAUAAGGGGUGGGCAAGUUCUGGUGUCAGCCGCCGCGGUAAAACCAGCACCUCAAGUGGUCAGGAUGAUUAUUGGGCCUAAAGCAUCCGUAGCCGGCUCUGUAAGUUUUCGGUUAAAUCUGUACGCUUAACGUACAGGCUGCCGGGAAUACUGCAGAGCUAGGGAGUGGGAGAGGUAGACGGUACUCGGUAGGAAGGGGUAAAAUCCUUUGAUCUAUUGAUGACCACCUGUGGCGAAGGCGGUCUACCAGAACACGUCCGACGGUGAGGGAUGAAAGCUGGGGGAGCAAACCGGAUUAGAUACCCGGGUAGUCCCAGCUGUAAACUAUGCAAACUCAGUGAUGCAUUGACUUGUGGUCAAUGCAGUGCUGCAGGGAAGCCGUUAAGUUUGCCGCCUGGAAG